This 300-nucleotide ribosomal RNA is filed under the name uncultured Mycoplasma sp. RNAcentral describes it as "bacterial SSU rRNA". It matches the Rfam family "Bacterial small subunit ribosomal RNA", at positions 496 to 795 of the family's 1533-position model. Lineage: Bacteria; Bacillati; Mycoplasmatota; Mollicutes; Mycoplasmatales; Mycoplasmataceae. The record is from RNAcentral.
UCUGUCUGUGGUACAGUUGGCGAGGUAAUCGAGGGGGUGCUGGCGUUAAUGCGAUUUACUGGUCGUAAAGCGCGCGUAGGUGGGUAAUUAAGUCAAAUGUGAAAUCCCCGAGCUUAACUUUUGAAUUGCAUUCGAGACUGGUUAGCUAGAGUAUGGGAGAGGAUGGGAGAAUUCCAGGUGUAGCGGUGAAAGGCGUAGAGAUCUGGAGGAAUACCGAUGGCGAAGGCAGCCAGCUGGCCUAAUACUGACACUGAGGUGCGAAAGCAUGGGGAGCAAACAGGAUUAGAUACCCCAGUAGUC